GCCGGGCGUGGUGGCGGGCGCCUGUAGUCCCAGCUACUCGGAGGCUGAGGCAGGAGAAUGGCGUGAACCCAGGAGGCGGAGCUUGCAGUGAGCCGAGAUCGCGCCACUGCACUCCAGCCUGGGUGACAAAGCCAGACUCCGUCUCAA
This 147-nucleotide non-coding RNA is filed under the name Chlorocebus sabaeus (green monkey). The record is from Rfam by way of RNAcentral. Lineage: Eukaryota; Metazoa; Chordata; Mammalia; Primates; Cercopithecidae.